UGCCUUGUUCUUCAGCAACUAGACACAACCUGCUGUGUGUCUGUAUUGGAAAACGGGGCUAGAAGAGUAACAGGUUCUGCUUUCCUCGCUGUACAUUUAAUUGCAGUGGUGACAAUGAGACCUGUAACAAGU
RNAcentral lists this small nucleolar RNA (132 nucleotides) under Catharus ustulatus (Swainson's thrush). Its description in RNAcentral is "Small nucleolar RNA SNORA1 (ENSCUSG00005002054.1)". It matches the Rfam family "Small nucleolar RNA SNORA1". From Rfam's summary of the family: ACA1 is a member of the H/ACA class of snoRNA that guide the sites of modification of uridines to pseudouridines. The record is from Rfam by way of RNAcentral. RNAcentral also lists the same sequence under 1 other name. Lineage: Eukaryota; Metazoa; Chordata; Aves; Passeriformes; Turdidae.